Molecule: long non-coding RNA, 673 nt
Organism: Pyrus x bretschneideri (Chinese white pear)
Lineage: Eukaryota; Viridiplantae; Streptophyta; Magnoliopsida; Rosales; Rosaceae
Exons: 2
Source: RefSeq, a predicted model, not a curated record
UGGAGUCGGUGGCGCACCUGUCGGCGGAGAUGUGGCAGGAGUUGGCAUGCUUACCGGAGCGCAUGAGCAGCCACCAGCUGUUAGAUCUCAUCUUCUGCUUCCCUCUGCAGCAGUUGGGUCGCCUGGCUUUCUGCCUCUGGACCUUCCUCUGCGUCCCUCCGCCCGACUCCUACUACUACUACUCUUCCUCCGACUCCGAUGACUCGUCCACCACCGUCGAUCACGAUGACUAUUACUACGAUCCCCACUCUGAUUGAUCCCCUUCUGCUUCUUCGAUUGUCUUCUCCUUCACCGGCUCCCCUCUACAGAAGAUGCAGGAUGGAAGAUAGAUUCUUCGAUAAACUCUUUCGUUACAAUGCAUUGUACAGUUUGUCUGGGAGGGGGACAGAUAUAAUUGAGGAGCAGGCAUAACUUUGUGGUAGUUAGAUUACUGGUUGCUGGUGGAUGAAAAGGAAAAUUACUUUCUGAAUACAAUUAAGUUGAGAUCCCAUUCCUGUGUUUAUAUGAAAGCUUCAAACAGUCUUAGAUCCUUUGAGGUGUUGAUUUCUUUGGAUCUAAUUUUACGUGGAAGCAUCGAUAUUUGAUCCUACGCUGGUGAUGUUGUAUUUACAAAUUAUACGAAAAUACCGGAUGAUAUAGUUAAAUAAUUAGUAACGCUCAACCUUGUACAGCA